Molecule: ribosomal RNA, 2789 nt
Filed under: Escherichia coli
Lineage: Bacteria; Pseudomonadati; Pseudomonadota; Gammaproteobacteria; Enterobacterales; Enterobacteriaceae
Description: bacterial LSU rRNA
Rfam family: Bacterial large subunit ribosomal RNA
Source: RNAcentral
UUAAGCGACUAAGCGUACACGGUGGAUGCCCUGGCAGUCAGAGGCGAUGAAGGACGUGCUAAUCUGCGAUAAGCGUCGGUAAGGUGAUAUGAACCGUUAUAACCGGCGAUUUCCGAAUGGGGAAACCCAGUGUGUUUCGACACACUAUCAUUAACUGAAUCCAUAGGUUAAUGAGGCGAACCGGGGGAACUGAAACAUCUAAGUACCCCGAGGAAAAGAAAUCAACCGAGAUUCCCCCAGUAGCGGCGAGCGAACGGGGAGCAGCCCAGAGCCUGAAUCAGUGUGUGUGUUAGUGGAAGCGUCUGGAAAGGCGCGCGAUACAGGGUGACAGCCCCGUACACAAAAAUGCACAUACUGUGAGCUCGAUGAGUAGGGCGGGACACGUGGUAUCCUGUCUGAAUAUGGGGGGACCAUCCUCCAAGGCUAAAUACUCCUGACUGACCGAUAGUGAACCAGUACCGUGAGGGAAAGGCGAAAAGAACCCCGGCGAGGGGAGUGAAAAAGAACCUGAAACCGUGUACGUACAAGCAGUGGGAGCCUCUUUUAUGGGGUGACUGCGUACCUUUUGUAUAAUGGGUCAGCGACUUAUAUUCUGUAGCAAGGUUAACCGAAUAGGGGAGCCGAAGGGAAACCGAGUCUUAACUGGGCGUUAAGUUGCAGGGUAUAGACCCGAAACCCGGUGAUCUAGCCAUGGGCAGGUUGAAGGUUGGGUAACACUAACUGGAGGACCGAACCGACUAAUGUUGAAAAAUUAGCGGAUGACUUGUGGCUGGGGGUGAAAGGCCAAUCAAACCGGGAGAUAGCUGGUUCUCCCCGAAAGCUAUUUAGGUAGCGCCUCGUGAAUUCAUCUCCGGGGGUAGAGCACUGUUUCGGCAAGGGGGUCAUCCCGACUUACCAACCCGAUGCAAACUGCGAAUACCGGAGAAUGUUAUCACGGGAGACACACGGCGGGUGCUAACGUCCGUCGUGAAGAGGGAAACAACCCAGACCGCCAGCUAAGGUCCCAAAGUCAUGGUUAAGUGGGAAACGAUGUGGGAAGGCCCAGACAGCCAGGAUGUUGGCUUAGAAGCAGCCAUCAUUUAAAGAAAGCGUAAUAGCUCACUGGUCGAGUCGGCCUGCGCGGAAGAUGUAACGGGGCUAAACCAUGCACCGAAGCUGCGGCAGCGACGCUUAUGCGUUGUUGGGUAGGGGAGCGUUCUGUAAGCCUGCGAAGGUGUGCUGUGAGGCAUGCUGGAGGUAUCAGAAGUGCGAAUGCUGACAUAAGUAACGAUAAAGCGGGUGAAAAGCCCGCUCGCCGGAAGACCAAGGGUUCCUGUCCAACGUUAAUCGGGGCAGGGUGAGUCGACCCCUAAGGCGAGGCCGAAAGGCGUAGUCGAUGGGAAACAGGUUAAUAUUCCUGUACUUGGUGUUACUGCGAAGGGGGGACGGAGAAGGCUAUGUUGGCCGGGCGACGGUUGUCCCGGUUUAAGCGUGUAGGCUGGUUUUCCAGGCAAAUCCGGAAAAUCAAGGCUGAGGCGUGAUGACGAGGCACUACGGUGCUGAAGCAACAAAUGCCCUGCUUCCAGGAAAAGCCUCUAAGCAUCAGGUAACAUCAAAUCGUACCCCAAACCGACACAGGUGGUCAGGUAGAGAAUACCAAGGCGCUUGAGAGAACUCGGGUGAAGGAACUAGGCAAAAUGGUGCCGUAACUUCGGGAGAAGGCACGCUGAUAUGUAGGUGAAGCGACUUGCUCGUGGAGCUGAAAUCAGUCGAAGAUACCAGCUGGCUGCAACUGUUUAUUAAAAACACAGCACUGUGCAAACACGAAAGUGGACGUAUACGGUGUGACGCCUGCCCGGUGCCGGAAGGUUAAUUGAUGGGGUUAGCGGUAACGCGAAGCUCUUGAUCGAAGCCCCGGUAAACGGCGGCCGUAACUAUAACGGUCCUAAGGUAGCGAAAUUCCUUGUCGGGUAAGUUCCGACCUGCACGAAUGGCGUAAUGAUGGCCAGGCUGUCUCCACCCGAGACUCAGUGAAAUUGAACUCGCUGUGAAGAUGCAGUGUACCCGCGGCAAGACGGAAAGACCCCGUGAACCUUUACUAUAGCUUGACACUGAACAUUGAGCCUUGAUGUGUAGGAUAGGUGGGAGGCUUUGAAGUGUGGACGCCAGUCUGCAUGGAGCCGGCCUUGAAAUACCACCCUUUAAUGUUUGAUGUUCUAACGUUGGCCCCUGAUCGGGGUUGCGGACAGUGUCUGGUGGGUAGUUUGACUGGGGCGGUCUCCUCCUAAAGAGUAACGGAGGAGCACGAAGGUUGGCUAAUCCUGGUCGGACAUCAGGAGGUUAGUGCAAUGGCAUAAGCCAGCUUGACUGCGAGCGUGACGGCGCGAGCAGGUGCGAAAGCAGGUCAUAGUGAUCCGGUGGUUCUGAAUGGAAGGGCCAUCGCUCAACGGAUAAAAGGUACUCCGGGGAUAACAGGCUGAUACCGCCCAAGAGUUCAUAUCGACGGCGGUGUUUGGCACCUCGAUGUCGGCUCAUCACAUCCUGGGGCUGAAGUAGGUCCCAAGGGUAUGGCUGUUCGCCAUUUAAAGUGGUACGCGAGCUGGGUUUAGAACGUCGUGAGACAGUUCGGUCCCUAUCUGCCGUGGGCGCUGGAGAACUGAGGGGGGCUGCUCCUAGUACGAGAGGACCGGAGUGGACGCAUCACUGGUGUUCGGGUUGUCAUGCCAAUGGCACUGCCCGGUAGCUAAAUGCGGAAGAGAUAAGUGCUGAAAGCAUCUAAGCACGAAACUUGCCCCGAGAUGAGUUCUCCC